Molecule: ribosomal RNA, 204 nt
Filed under: uncultured bacterium
Lineage: Bacteria
Description: partial 16S ribosomal RNA
Rfam family: Bacterial small subunit ribosomal RNA
Source: RNAcentral
UGAGAGAGUGAACUGCCACAUUGGGACUGAGACACGGCCCAGACUCCUACGGGAGGCAGCAGUGGGGAAUAUUGCACAAUGGGGGAAACCCUGAUGCAGCGACGCCGCGUGAGGGAAGAAGUAUUUCGGUAUGUAAAGCUCUAUCAGCAGGGAAGAUAAUGACGGUACCUGACUAAGAAGCCCCGGCUAAGUACGUGCCAGCAG